Molecule: small nuclear RNA, 118 nt
Filed under: Aotus nancymaae (Ma's night monkey)
Lineage: Eukaryota; Metazoa; Chordata; Mammalia; Primates; Aotidae
Description: U1 spliceosomal RNA (ENSANAG00000019817.1)
Rfam family: U1 spliceosomal RNA
About the family: U1 is a small nuclear RNA (snRNA) component of the spliceosome (involved in pre-mRNA splicing). Its 5' end forms complementary base pairs with the 5' splice junction, thus defining the 5' donor site of an intron. There are significant differences in sequence and secondary structure between metazoan and yeast U1 snRNAs, the latter being much longer (568 nucleotides as compared to 164 nucleotides in human).
Source: RNAcentral
AUACUUACCUGGCAGGGGAGAUACCAUGAUCACGAAGGUGGUUUUCCCAGGGUGAGACUUAUCCAUUGCACUCAAGAAAAGACAGUUAUGCCUGUGUCCUGAAAGGGCUUCUGAAGCC